CGGACCUUUCGGGGUCAGCGGCGGACGGGUGAGUAACGCGUGGGAACGUGCCUUCUGGUUCGGAAUAACCCUGGGAAACUAGGGCUAAUACCGGAUACGCCCUUAUGGGGAAAGGUUUACUGCCGGAAGAUCGGCCCGCGUCUGAUUAGCUAGUUGGUGGGGUAACGGCCUACCAAGGCGACGAUCAGUAGCUGGUCUGAGAGGAUGAUCAGCCACACUGGGACUGAGACACGGCCCAGACUCCUACGGGAGGCAGCAGUGGGGAAUAUUGGACAAUGGGCGCAAGCCUGAUCCAGCCAUGCCGCGUGAGUGAUGAAGGCCUUAGGGUUGUAAAGCUCUUUUAUCCGGGACGAUAAUGACGGUACCGGAGGAAUAAGCCCCGGCUAACUUCGUGCCAGCAGCCGC
This 405-nucleotide ribosomal RNA is filed under the name Methylobacterium sp. 10MP1. Its description in RNAcentral is "bacterial SSU rRNA". It matches the Rfam family "Bacterial small subunit ribosomal RNA", at positions 67 to 518 of the family's 1533-position model. Lineage: Bacteria; Pseudomonadati; Pseudomonadota; Alphaproteobacteria; Hyphomicrobiales; Methylobacteriaceae. The record is from RNAcentral.